RNAcentral lists this ribosomal RNA (424 nucleotides) under uncultured bacterium. Its description in RNAcentral is "bacterial SSU rRNA". It matches the Rfam family "Bacterial small subunit ribosomal RNA", at positions 355 to 776 of the family's 1533-position model. The record is from RNAcentral.
UGGGGAAUUUUGCGCAAUGGGGGAAACCCUGACGCAGCGAUGCCGCGUGGAGGACGAAGGUCUUCGGAUUGUAAACUCCUUUUGUCGGUGAAAAACAUUCGCGUGAAUAACGUGAACUGAUUGUAUCCGGCGAAUAAGCCACGGCUAACUUCGUGCCAGCAGCCGCGGUAAGACGAAGGUGGCGAGCGUUACUCGGAUUUACUAGGCGUAAAGCGUGGGCAGGCGGCUCGAUUAGUCUCUUGUGAAAGCCUUGGGCUUAACCCAGGGAGGCCAAGAGAUACUAUCGGGCUUGGAUGUGGGAGAGGAGACUGGAAUUCCCGGUGUAGCGGUGAAAUGCGUUGAUAUCGGGAGGAACACCAAUGGCGAAAGCAAGUCUCUGGACCACCAUCGACGCUCAUCCACGAAAGCUGGGGGAUCAAACAGG